Molecule: long non-coding RNA, 4813 nt
Filed under: Sus scrofa (pig)
Lineage: Eukaryota; Metazoa; Chordata; Mammalia; Artiodactyla; Suidae
Description: lncRNA (ENSSSCG00060002407.1)
Source: RNAcentral
UGGUACCCCAUGCCUCUCCCAUGAGAUAAGAUCAUUUGUUCAUUUCUCACCCUUUGGUUCCUUCCUUUGAUGGCUAUUGAAGGAAUGGAGGGGUGACAGAGCAGGUGUGCCUGGGAUUGCAGGUUCAUCCAGAGCCAUCCCUGGGGAAGACAGCACAGUGGGGGAAGCUGAGGUAGAGUGUGGUUAAGGCUUUGCCUCCCGGGGCCACUGCAAUGACCCUUCCUGGAAACUAGCGGAUGUAUGUGAACAAGGUUUAAAAUGUCAAGUUGCUAAGGCCACAAUUCAGGGAUUGGAGGGAGGAAGAUUGCUAUAACUGCUCGGGAUGGUCAACCCAUGGGAUGGGCAGCCUGUGGGCUGGAUGCAACCCACGGAUGUGUUUUGGUUCCCCCACCCCCACAAAUUUGGACCAUGUUGCAUUUUUUAAAAAUAUCCUAUUGUUCAUCCCCAUUACAAAACUUAUUCCACAUAACAUUUGCAAAUUCUAGCUUCUCUUGAAGAAUCAGAAAGCCUGGUCCCCCCAGAGCCACCAUUCCCACGUGUAGGCACCCAUAGGCACCAAGCUGCCACUGCCUCUUCCUAUGGGGCUGUGCUUCUCCAGGGGUGCAAAUCCCAUGGCUCUUGGUCUUCUCCCCAACAUGGAGCCCAAGGGCCAUUGUACAUGUCAUUAUACAUGCUUAAUAUGCAAGCAAAGAAUGCUGAAAGGACACCUAAGGAGCUUUUAUGAAACAAAUCAAACAUUCCUCCCCAUAAUAAAUAAUAUAAAUGAUAAUGAGUGAUGUAAAUCUACCCAUGUAUGUCACCUCCCUGGCCUCAUUGCUAUUGGAGUUUGGAACCAUAUUUUUAAUUAGUUUGGGGACUCCGUGAGUUGACUGAGGAAGGGUAGGUUUCUGGGCUCACACGCAAAAUCAGGGCUUCUGAAACUGAUGAGGAGGUAGGGUGACAAACUGUCCCGGUUUUCCCGGACCUGAGGGGUUUCCUGAGCUGUGGAACUUUCAGGGCUAAAACCAGGGAAUUGCCAAGCCAACGGGAAUGGCAGUCUCCUUAGAAGGAGACUCAGCAGAGGUGAUGCAGUAUCACCAGAUGAGCCCCGCUGUCCACAGCUUCUCCAGGGACAACCAUGCCUAGAAAUGCUGGUCUCUGGGGCCCCCAAGACCUCACUCAUUGCUGAGGACCAUUCACAAAGGUCCCGGGGAGCCUCUUUCCCUCUGCUCUGAAACAGGUCUGGCUGUGGGUUUAAGCUUGGGGUUCCUUUGAGAAGCUCCCGAAUUGCUAGUUGGUUUUGUUUGCCUUGAGCUGAGUGCCUCACCCAUUCUAUCUCUGAGAUGGAGAAAGAAGGGUUAAGAGCCACUUGAUGGGCACCUGAGGACCUGGAGAGGAUAGCAAGGACACAGAAAGCAGUCACUUGGCCUCACGUUCAUCUGGUUUCCGGUUUUGCUGCACUCUGCUGGACCAUCCUCUGAGGUCACUGUUAAGAGAAGAUUACUAGUUACCCCUGCUGGACUAGGGUCUGUAGAAUCACCUCUUUUCAGGUCCUUUUCCUCCGUAGGCUGAGUGUCCCACAGCUUCCCUCCUGCCCAUUCCUGCCCUUCCCAUUCAGCUCAGCACAGUGCUUACCUCCCUCGAGAUUCUUUUCUCAUCCAACUCCGCCUGGCCCCGGUCACCGCCAUGCGUCCUUCGUCCCCUCAGGCCCCUGCGUCCCCAUGACCUGGCUCUGAAUGCACAGGUGAUUCCUAUUUCCCUGGUUUGGAAUGCCUGAUAGCUCCAUCUGGGCUGAGCUGACUUUUAUUAUAGCUUAUAUUUUAUGAAGAAAGGUUUUCACAAAGCAAAUGAAUACUGACAACAAAAUUACAUGAAUGUUUAGUUUAAUAAAGAGGACAGUCUGCCAAAAUGCUAUCCCUGCUUUGGGGCCUGGUUGGAACCCUCAGCAGAUGGAGUGUCUGCCUGCAGUUAAUACCAGGACGCUUCUCUUCCUCUUCCUGAAACUUUCCCUGACAUCACCCCGGCUGACCCAUUGUCCUGUUCCUCCUCUGGCCCUCACAGCAGUUUUGAGCCUGGGGCUUCUUUAUCCUACAUUUGUUACCUCUCAAGUCCAAUUUCUUUAGAGAGUUGUGUUAGACCCCUUUUUCCUGCCACCUCUGGGGUUGUGACCUCACCUUCCCUCUGGGGCCCUUGGCCACUGUUCUGAUCCAACACAGGAUUUAAGAAAAGAAAUAACAUGAGUUCCCAUUGUGGCUCAGCGUUUAACGAACCCAACUAGCAUCCUUGGGGACAUGCAUUCAAUCCCUGGCCUCACUCAUUGGAUUAAGGAUCUGGUGUGGCCAUGAGCUGUGGUGUAGGUCGCAGAUGCAGCUCAGAUCCCAAGUUGCUGUGGCUGUGGUAUGGGCCAUCGGCUACAAAUCCGAUGCAACCCCUAGCCUGGGAACCUCCAUAUGCCAAGGGUGCGGCCCUAAAAAGACACAAAAAGAAAUAACAGAGGCAAGAGAAGGAAGAGAUAUGGGGUUGUGUUUGUGUGACUCUGAGCCUGGCCCCCACAGCGUGGCCUCCUCUAGGGUGCAGUCACCUCUAGGACAAGCUCACCCCUCCUGCCUGGGGGAGGAGAGGUGGGUGGGGGUCUGCCUACAGCAAUAUCAAGUACAUUCACGUCGCUCUGCAGCCAUCAGCACCAUCCAUCCUCAGGACCUCGUCAUCUUCCCAAACUGAAAUUGUCCCCAUUAAACGGCACCCCCAUCCCCCUCCCCAGCCCCUGGCAACCACAUUCUACUUUGUGUCUCUAGGGAGUUGGCUCCUCCAGGGACCUCAUGUACUUGAGAGUCAUUCAGUCUUUGGCCUUUUGUGACUGUGGGUUGUCAGCUCCGCUAUGAGCUGACUGAGACCCUCAGAAGUGGCUGCCUGGGUGAUGACAAGGGGUCAGUGGGGGUGGGGUCAUUACCCCUCUAAGGCAGCUGUCUUCCUCAGCCCGGGACUGGGCUUCCACUGGGGGGAAAGGAGCUCCGCUGCUCAAAAGGGCUUGGAAGCCCCCAGAGUCACCCUCUUCUCAUCCUCUUCCAUCCGCCCACAUUUCCACCCUGUCUAAUCAUUCCUGAGUAGCUGUCAAGGUUUCCCCUUCCCCCCUGGCUCUGUGGAAAGAGGCCAAGAAUCUACUUCCGUUCAGACCUCCCCCAGGACGGGAGAAUGGUCACUCUAUCCUGCUUUGGAAUGGGUGGGUUUUCAUUGGCACCAGCAGGGACUGAGUUCAGCUCUGAGCACCCACUACCACUCAAGAAACUCCCGCGGGAUCUUCUGCCAUGAGCUGUGUUCCCUGGACCUGAAAGCUAACCUCACAGGCUGAAAUGGAACUGACUCAAGCCCUCCCCACCCCCGGUCCUUAUCUGGAUGCCUCUCACACUAGAGGGAAAGCCAGAGGUUGCCGUAAUGAUAAACAGAAAGGCCACACCCUGCAUUCCAAGCUCUCUGAAUCCGGAUCCAGAAUUACGUCUUCCUUCACAGACUUUGUGGCUAUAGCACAAAACUCCUGCUCUUCCAAGCACACCCUGAGCCUCCCCACUUGUGUCCAUUUGCUCAACACCUUUUCUCCCUCCUGAAAGGGCUUUGUCUUUCUGUGUCUACCUGCAGCCACCUGCACCAAAGGCCCUAAGUGACCUUCACCACCUGGAGGAUCCAUUCCGCCCAGGUCCUGGAACAUGAGAGCCACACCUGCUGGGUCAUUCCAAGCCCCUCCUGACCAGCAGUGUUGGCCACCUCCCCCUGCCUGGUGAGCACAGGGAAGGAUAUGGUGCCGUGGGUUCCCAAGGGAUAACUGGAUGGCAGUUUACCAAUCCCACCCAGUCUGGGGGUCACUGGUCUCCAUACUAGCCUAUUGGGGCAGACCAAUGGCAACCAGAACCCCCUCCAUCACCUCACAGGUGCCUAGCCUGGCGACUAGGGAGAUGGAGGGUUUGACCCCAACACCUGGAUUCUGCUAGUAACUUUCCUAUAUUCUCUAAUUCUGACAAAACCUACUGCCCAUAACUCCACCCUACUGGUCCUGGGUAAUAAUCAUCGGACACUUUAAUUAAAGACCUGCCUGUCUUGUGACCAUUGUGCAAUCUUAACCAAGGAUAUCUUAACCAAGAUGGCUCAUUCUUGUCAAUGUUUACUUAUAAAUGAAUGAGUAUGGGGAACGUGGUGGGGGGGUGGGGGUGGGGGGAAGAACACAACCACAGUCAAGGUGGAAACCCUCUUGAUCAGGGAGAUCCUAGUCUAGCUCCUGGACUUCCUGUGGACUCCAGCCAGUACUCCCACGUACAUAUCCUCUGAGAAGCCCCCAAGUUUCCGCUUACUCACCCUCACUAGCUUUUAUGCCUGUGGGGGUUGGGAAAGAAGGCCAUUCCUCUGCCCUGUUGACAGAUGGGGUCUUAGACUGUCUCGGGGUGAUCUCUACUGUCAGGCCAAAGAUUCCAUCUUUCUUAGACUCUCUUAGGACAUGGGCUGUAGGUUCGUGACAAGCUGUCAAUAACAGUGGCGGACUAAACUUAGAGGGGAAACUAAAAACCCAUUGAUUAGGAGGACUGUUUUGGAAUUAAAAAUGUGUAACCUGGGAGUUCCCUUCGUGGCUCAGUGGUUAAUGAAUCCGACUAGGGACCAUGAGGUUGCAGGUUCGAUCCCUGGCCUUGCUCAGUGGGUUAAGGAUCCAACAUUGCCGUGAGCUGUGGUGUAGGUUGCAUAUGUGGCUUUGAUCCCGCAUUGCUGUGGCUCUGGCGUAGGCCGGUGGCUACAGCUCCAAUUCAACCCCUAGCCUGGGAACCUCCAUGUGCCACGGGAGCGGCCCAAGAAA